AUUGAACGCUAGCGGGAUGCCUUACACAUGCAAGUCGAACGGAGUGGCGAACGGGUGAGUAAUGUAUCGGAACGUGCCCAGUAGAGGGGGAUAACUACGCGAAAGCGUAACUAAUACCGCAUACUAUUGGAGCGGCCGAUAUCGGAUUAGCUAGUUGGUGGGGUAACGGCUCACCAAGGCUACGAACCGUAGCUGGUUUGAGAGGACGACCAGCCAUACUGGGACUGAGCAACGGCCCAGACUCCUACGGGAGUCAGCAGUGGGGAAUUGUGGACAAUGGGGUAAACCCUGUUCCAGCCAUCCCGCGUGUGCGCUGAAGGCCUUCGGUUUGUAAAGCACUUUUGGCAGGAAAGCGGUACCUGCAGAAUAAGCACCGGCUAACUACGUGCCAGCCGCCGCGGUAAUAG
This 407-nucleotide ribosomal RNA is filed under the name uncultured bacterium. Its description in RNAcentral is "partial 16S ribosomal RNA". It matches the Rfam family "Bacterial small subunit ribosomal RNA", at positions 30 to 526 of the family's 1533-position model. The record is from RNAcentral.